RNAcentral lists this ribosomal RNA (461 nucleotides) under uncultured bacterium. Its description in RNAcentral is "partial 16S ribosomal RNA". It matches the Rfam family "Bacterial small subunit ribosomal RNA", at positions 28 to 507 of the family's 1533-position model. The record is from RNAcentral.
GGUGAACGCUGGCGGCGUGCUUAAGACAUGCAAGUCGAACGAUCGUCUUCGGACGGUAGUGGCGCACGGGUGUGUAACGCGUAACUUACCUGCUACCAAGCCUCGCAUAACCCUCCGAAAGGCGGGCUAAUACGGGAUGUGCUGUCCCCUCCUGUGGGGCCAGUAAUGGCUUGUCCGCUUGGGGUUGGGGUUGCGUGCUAUCAGCUAGAUGUUGGGGUAAAGGCCUACCAUGGCAACGACGGAUUACCGGCCGGAGAGGUUGGUCGGUGACAGGGGCACUGAGACACGGGGACGACGCCGACGGGAGGCAGCAGGUAGGGAUCGAAGCCAAUGGACGAAAGUCUGAGGGAGCGACGCAGGGUGUGGGAUGGAGGAGGUCGGAUCGUAAAGCACAGAAACAGGGACGAAAGACACGGAAGCGUGAGGACGGAACCUAAGUAAUAGCACCGGCUAACUACGUG